UGGCUGUGAUGACAAAAUAACUUCCAUUUCUCGGUGCUGAUACUUGAUCUACUCAAGGACCCAAAAUUUGAUGAGCUUUGUGCGUGUCUGAGCCGA
Non-coding RNA from Brachypodium distachyon (stiff brome), 96 nucleotides. NCBI's taxonomy places the organism in Eukaryota, Viridiplantae, Streptophyta, Magnoliopsida, Poales, Poaceae. The record is from Rfam.